UACGUAGGGUGCGAGCGUUAAUCGGAAUUACUGGGCGUAAAGCGUGCGCAGGCGGUGAUGUAAGACCGAUGUGAAAUCCCCGGGCUUAACCUGGGAACUGCAUUGGUGACUGCAUUGCUGGAGUAUGGCAGAGGGGGGUGGAAUUCCACGUGUAGCAGUGAAAUGCGUAGAGAUGUGGAGGAACACCGAUGGCGAAGGCAGCCCCCUGGGUUAACACUGACGCUCAGGCACGAAAGCGUGGGGAGCAAACAGG
RNAcentral lists this ribosomal RNA (253 nucleotides) under uncultured bacterium. RNAcentral describes it as "partial 16S ribosomal RNA". It matches the Rfam family "Bacterial small subunit ribosomal RNA", at positions 524 to 776 of the family's 1533-position model. The record is from RNAcentral.